CGGGACGGGGUGAGUAAUGUCUGGGAAACUAGCCUGAUGGAGGGGGGUAACUACUGGAAACGGUAGCUAAUACCGCAUAACGUCGCAAGACCAAAGAGGGGGACCUUCGGGCCUCUUGCCAUCGGAUGUGCCCAGAUGGGAUUAGCUAGUAGGUGGGGUAACGGCUCACCUAGGCGACGAUCCCUAGCUGGUCUGAGAGGAUGGCCAGCCACACUGGAACUGAGACACGGUCCAG
RNAcentral lists this ribosomal RNA (235 nucleotides) under uncultured bacterium. RNAcentral describes it as "partial 16S ribosomal RNA". It matches the Rfam family "Bacterial small subunit ribosomal RNA", at positions 104 to 334 of the family's 1533-position model. The record is from RNAcentral.